UACGUAGGUGACAAGCGUUGUCCGGAAUCAUUGGGCGUAAAGAGCGUGUAGGCGGUCCGGUAAGUCCGCUGUGAAAGUCGGGGGCUCAACCCUCGAAUGCCGGUGGAUACUGUCGGGCUAGAGUACGGAAGAGGCAAGUGGAAUUCCUGGUGUAGCGGUGGAAUGCGCAGAUAUCAGGAGGAACACCUAUAGCGAAGGCAGCUUGCUGGGACGUUACUGACGCUAAGGCGCGAAAGCGUGGGGAGCGAACAGG
This 253-nucleotide ribosomal RNA is filed under the name uncultured bacterium. RNAcentral's name for it is "partial 16S ribosomal RNA". It matches the Rfam family "Bacterial small subunit ribosomal RNA", at positions 524 to 776 of the family's 1533-position model. The record is from RNAcentral.